AGUGAACGCUGGCGGUAGGCCUAACACAUGCAAGUCGAACGGCAGCACAGUAAGAGCUUGCUCUUACGGGUGGCGAGUGGCGGACGGGUGAGGAAUACAUCGGAAUCUACUUUUUCGUGGGGGAUAACGUAGGGAAACUUACGCUAAUACCGCAUACGACCUACGGGUGAAAGCAGGGGAUCUUCGGACCUUGCGCGAUUGAAUGAGCCGAUGUCGGAUUAGCUAGUUGGCGGGGUAAAGGCCCACCAAGGCGACGAUCCGUAGCUGGUCUGAGAGGAUGAUCAGCCACACUGGAACUGAGACACGGUCCAGACUUCUACGGGGGGCAGCAGUGGGGAAUAUUGGACAAUGGGCGCAAGCCUGAUCCAGCCAUACCGCGUGGGUGAAGAAGGCCUUCGGGUUGUAAAGCCCUUUUGUUGGGAAAGAAAAGCAGCAGGUUAAUACCCCGCUGUUCUGACGGUACCCAAAGAAUAAGCACCGGCUAACUUCG
RNAcentral lists this ribosomal RNA (490 nucleotides) under uncultured bacterium. Its description in RNAcentral is "partial 16S ribosomal RNA". It matches the Rfam family "Bacterial small subunit ribosomal RNA", at positions 29 to 505 of the family's 1533-position model. The record is from RNAcentral.